AUUGAACGCUGGCGGCAGGCCUAACACAUGCAAGUCGAACGAGUGGCGGACGGGUGAGUAAUGUCUGGGAAACUGCCCGAUGGAGGGGGAUAACUACUGGAAACGGUAGCUAAUACCGCAUACCAUCGGAUGUGCCCAGAUGUGAUUAGCUGGUAGGUGGGGUAACGGCUCACCUAGGCGACGAUCCCUAGCUGGUCUGAGAGGAUGACCAGCCACCCGGGAACGGAGACACGGUCCAGACUCCUACGGGGGGCAGCGUUGGGGAAUAUUGCACAAUGGGCGCAAUCCGGAUGCAGCCAUGCCGCGUGGGUGAAGAAGGCCUUCGGGUUGUAAAGCACUUUCAGCGGGGAGGCGUUACCCGCAGAAGAAGCACCGGCUAACUCCGUGCCAGCAGCCGCGGUAAUUC
RNAcentral lists this ribosomal RNA (406 nucleotides) under uncultured bacterium. Its description in RNAcentral is "partial 16S ribosomal RNA". It matches the Rfam family "Bacterial small subunit ribosomal RNA", at positions 30 to 526 of the family's 1533-position model. The record is from RNAcentral.